GAUGAACGCUGGCGGCGUGCCUAAUACAUGCAAGUCGAGCGAACGGACGAGAAGCUUGCUUCUCUGAUGUUAGCGGCGGACGGGUGAGUAACACGUGGAUAACCUACCUAUAAGACUGGGAUAACUUCGGGAAACCGGAGCUAAUACCGGAUAAUAUUUUGAACCGCAUAGUUCAAAAGUGAAAGACGGUCUUGCUGUCACUUAUAGAUGGAUCCGCGCUGCAUUAGCUAGUUGGUAAGGUAACGGCUUACCAAGGCAACGAUGCAUAGCCGACCUGAGAGGGUGAUCGGCCACACUGGAACUGAGACACGGUCCAGACUCCUACGGGAGGCAGCAGUAGGGAAUCUUCCGCAAUGGGCGAAAGCCUGACGGAGCAACGCCGCGUGAGUGAUGAAGGUCUUCGGAUCGUAAAACUCUGUUAUUAGGGAAGAACAUAUGUGUAAGUAACUGUGCACAUCUUGACGGUACCUAAUCAGAAAGCCACGGCUAACUACGU
This 496-nucleotide ribosomal RNA is filed under the name uncultured bacterium. RNAcentral's name for it is "partial 16S ribosomal RNA". It matches the Rfam family "Bacterial small subunit ribosomal RNA", at positions 28 to 506 of the family's 1533-position model. The record is from RNAcentral.